GGGGUUCCACCUGCUGUGGAGCCUGCGCCUAAGUUUGACUCACCGAUCUGAAACUUACCUGGGAACGACACUGGAAGGAUUGACAGAUUGAGAGCUCUUUCUUGAUUCUAGGGGCGGUGGUGCAUGGCCGUUCUUAGUUGGGGGAACGAUUUGUCUGGUUAAUUCCGAGAACGAAAUAGACUCUAGCCUACUAAAUAGACUGUUCGUCUUUUCAGAUGCAUAACCCUGCUUGUUCUUCGGGCCUUGGAGCCUGUAACUCACAUUAAUUGGCUUCUUAUAGGUGCAGGCUUUCGAUCCGGCAAACCAGACGUGCCAGCUGCAGGACUGAGAUGCCCUUAGAUGGCCAGGGCCGCACGCGCGCUACGCUGAAUCUUCAGCUUCCUAUUAACUGACCCUACUCCGUCGGAGUUCUUCUGCGGCGAGCCUUCUUCGUCACUGGGAGGGGGAUUGCGUUAUUCCCCUUGUCCGAGGAUUCCCACAAGCGCAAGUCAUACCAUUGCGUUGAUUACGUCCCUGCCC
Molecule: ribosomal RNA, 519 nt
Filed under: uncultured eukaryote
Lineage: Eukaryota
Description: bacterial SSU rRNA
Rfam family: Eukaryotic small subunit ribosomal RNA
Source: RNAcentral